This 410-nucleotide ribosomal RNA is filed under the name Uracis infumata. RNAcentral describes it as "partial 12S ribosomal RNA". It matches the Rfam family "Microsporidia small subunit ribosomal RNA", at positions 749 to 1304 of the family's 1311-position model. The record is from RNAcentral. Lineage: Eukaryota; Metazoa; Arthropoda; Insecta; Odonata; Libellulidae.
CCUGGGUCGUAAUAGUUAUGUUCUUGAAACCCAAAGAAUUUGGCGGUAUUUUAUUCUUUUUAGAGGAACCUGUCCUAUAAUUGAUAAUCCACGAUAGAGAAACACUUACUUUUGUAUUCAUUUUGUAUACCUCCGUCAUCAGAGUAUCUUUUUAGAGUUAAUAUUCUAUUAUUACAAAAUAUAGUAUGUCAGGUCAAGGUGCAAUUUAUGAGUAAGUAGAGAUGGGUUACAAUAAAUUUAUUUAUAUGAAUUGUUAUUUUUAUUAUUAGCAUGAAGGUGGAUUUAAAAGUAAAUUUAUUUAUUUAAUAUAUUGAUUUUAGCUCUAAAAUAUGCACACAUCGCCCGUCGCUCUUAUUUUAAAAUAAGAUAAGUCGUAACAUAGUAGACGUACCGGAAGGUGUGCCUAGUAA